CUGAGGAAGUAAUAUGAGUUUAUGAUUAUUUCCAUUAUUAUUAUUAUCAUUAUGAGGUUAGUAAUGAUUGGGAUCCUUCAACGAUAUGGAUUGCUUCAUUUUCUGGUCACGCAAUUUAACACACCUACACACUCUAGCAAAUUCUUUUGAACCUUCGCCGCACACAAACCUACCGCCGCCGCUCGCCAAAUGAAUCGCAACCGUCAUGACAAGCCGUCACUGUACCACGUCUGCUCUCUUAAACUACACACGAGCCAGCCACCACCGCCAUUACGUUUCGUUGUAUCCGGUGAGAACAUCACCGAUGUACAACACCAUGUGUCCAUCCGCCGUGGUUCAGGUCGCUACCGCCGCCAUCGGUCCCAACUCACGAAUCAGUCUCUGUUGCCGUUUUUUUUAUACAGUUACCGAUCAUUGCCACCUACUGGUCCCCGCUUGAUUGCUACAAUACACUUCCGGUUAACGAGCACCAUUUCUCUUGUCUUGAAACUUUUCGGCCACUCAUUAUAUACUUAUAGACGGUCCUCUUUCCUGCAAGGUUGUCGUAUAUGAUUCGGGUGAGACGUUAUAAUUUUUGUCAAGUUGCGAGCUAAGCUUUUAAGGUAAUCUGGGAUAAUAUGGGAUUUCAGUGAGGAGCGUUAGGAAGUUGCUGACCAAGAUUCUUUAUUUCAGUAACGUAAUAAAAUGUAAUUAAGAUCUUUUAUUUAAUGUUAUGGAUUGGUUUUUAGUUUUGAUAUCUGUAAGAGUGACACGUCAGCCCUAUUCGGGUCGGGGUGUUACAUAGCAUCAAAGGACAAUCAUUUCAGAACCAAAAACAACAAGAAUCGUGAGAACUGCAUAAUACACUUGUACCUUUUGUUUAAGUGUGAUACAAAAGGUGGUUACAUAACCCCUACGCCACUAUCUCAUUAUAUCAUCAAUACAU
Long non-coding RNA from Helianthus annuus (common sunflower), 925 nucleotides. RefSeq lists it as uncharacterized. Lineage: Eukaryota; Viridiplantae; Streptophyta; Magnoliopsida; Asterales; Asteraceae. The transcript has 3 exons. The record is from RefSeq and is a predicted model, not a curated record.